UACGUAGGGUGCAAGCGUUGUCCGGAAUUAUUGGGCGUAAAGAGCUCGUAGGCGGUCUGUCGCGUCGGCUGUGAAAACCCGGGGCUCAACCCCGGGCCUGCAGUCGAUACGGGCAGACUAGAGUGCGGUAGGGGAGACUGGAAUUCCUGGUGUAGCGGUGAAAUGCAUUGAGAUCGGAAAGAACACCAACGGCGAAAGCACUCUGCUGGGCCGACACUGACACUGAGAGACGAAAGCUAGGGGAGCAAAUGGG
Molecule: ribosomal RNA, 253 nt
Filed under: uncultured bacterium
Lineage: Bacteria
Description: partial 16S ribosomal RNA
Rfam family: Bacterial small subunit ribosomal RNA
Source: RNAcentral